This 2172-nucleotide unclassified non-coding RNA is filed under the name Hevea brasiliensis (rubber tree). The record is from RNAcentral. Lineage: Eukaryota; Viridiplantae; Streptophyta; Magnoliopsida; Malpighiales; Euphorbiaceae.
GAGCGAAGCAUAACUCCAUAUUCUAUAGAAAAUAAAUAUCUGUAUAUUACAAUAUCAAAAGGAAAAAAACUAUAAAUAAACAUGCCUAGAGGUAAUCCACUCAGGGUGAAAUAAUAAAAUUCAACUUUGAACAGCUUCAUCCAUGGCCUGAGAUCACAAAACCAAAUUAGCAGCUCAUAUGUAAGUUUUGAUUUGGGUAAGUUUCAUCAGAUGGCCGAAAGGGCAGAUGGCUUUCCCAUGGUUUGAUGAUUUAAAACCAGCAGGAGCUCAUAUUUCAGCCCGUAAAACCUGUACAAAAUCUAAUCCUACUACUCUAAAUGUAAACUAGUUUUCUCCAAAGCUAAAUGACUAACAUCCUAUCCUAUCUUUUCUAACUUCCACUCAAGGACUUCAGGCAGCAUAUUGCUUUGAUGCCUGCAAAGUACUAACAGAAUUUGAAAUCUCCAGCAUCUGUUCCUCCAUCUUAGCCUUCCAUUUCACCAACUCCUUGAACAUUUCCUGUCCAAAAAUGCAACAUUUCAAAUGAGGCUUCAUCAAUUAAUACUACACACUUUGAAAGCAGAUUAUAUAUACACUUUUUUCUCGAGAAAAUCAAUUUAUUUUAGUAGCAUACUAUUAAAUAUCACCUGAAAAAGAAGAAAUGGAUUGUCAAGAUCAAACUUCAAACUGUUAGUAGCAGAUGAAUCAGGGGUAACACUUGCUUGAGCAUCUUCCAUCCUCUUGGGUAGCAGAUAUUGCACAUCUCUUUUUACUUUGGCCAUUUCUUCCUUUAGCAGUUCCAGCUCUCUAGCACAAAUGGGGUCCCCAGAGGGACUAUCACAAGAUUUCAACCAAGGCUGUAGAGCUGAACAUUCCUGCAGUGGAGCAUCUUGCCCAACAUUAACCAGAUCAGUGCUUCCUAACCAUGGUGUGAAGUCCUCCCCCUUAAUAUUAUCCAAGUUGGUGCUCUCCAACCAGUCCUCCCAUCUUUCAGAAACUGGACUGAAGGUGGUGCAUUGUUUUGAAGCCUGCAAACUGCUCACUGAAUUUGAAAUUUCCAUAAGCUGUUGUUCAGCUUUGGACUUCCACAUCAUCAACUCCUGAUACAUGUCCUGCAUGCCACGCAAAGAACUUGAAAUCUCCAUCACACAUUGAUCAGUCUUACUUCUCCAUUUCAUCAAUUCCUUGUGCAUCUCCUCAACUGAAUCAACUCGAUUUUGCUCUUGGUUCUUCAAUAACAGCUCAUUCAUAUCCCUAUGAAGGACACACACAUAAUAAUCAGGGACCUUGGACCACUUACUAAUUCAACUAUUCUGGUUUAAUUACCUCUUCAAUUUUGCUACUUCCUCUUUAAGCAGUGUCAGUUCUCCAGCAGAAACAGAUUCUCGAACAACAUCACCACCAGGCUUCCACCAAGAUGGGGGAACCCAAUUUGGAUCAGGCAACCCAGCCUCAUGCUUAAUUUUAACCAAGUCAGCACUCUCCAGCCAAUACUCCAUUACCCCUUGAGUGUUAUAGCACCGGCGAAAUCGCUCACUGCCACCUGGUGCCACUUUACCAUCGAUGUGCUUCAGUAGGUGGUCCAAGAGUCCGGUGUCAGGAAUGUGUUUCCGAGCUGCCACCCUCAGUACUGGCCGGGAAAUAGGUUUCUCAAAAACAGCCCCUUCAGCCUUCAUGACCUCCAGCAUUCGUUUCUCUGCCAGCUUAUACCUCUCUUUGGACCAUCUGUCUAUGAAGUUCUCCUUUUUCCUUGAUGAAGAAUUAUCUUUUUUGCAAGGAAAGGAAUUCUCAUGCUUAAUUUGCUUAUGACUGUCAGUUUGCCCUUGCCUCAGACAUCUUGCAGCUCUAGCUUCUCUAAGCUGGCAAAGGUUAAGGCGCCUCCUCUUCUGCAAUUUGGGUGACACAAGAGAUGCUGCUGUCACAGCUUCGUCAUCAUCCAUCUGCUCUUCUUUGACACAGGAGGAUGAAAUUUGAGGUUUAUUUCCCUCGCACUGGUCAACAAGAGCAACUGGCCCACAGACACCCCACUGCACCAUCCCUGUGCGUCUUAGCUCCAACAAACACAACCCUUUUUUGGUAGUCUCAUCUUGUCUCUCACAACUUUCAUAUCGUUCUGAAGCACCUUUAUAUGUCCUCGACAUCAACGAGACAUUCUCAUAGUCCAACAGCCAGUGUUCCAAUAGUAAGAUUGUC